CCCUUAGAUGUCCUGGGCCGCACGCGCGUUACACUGAUGCAUUCAACGAGCUUAUAACCUUGGCCGAGAGGCCUGGGCAAUCUUGUUAACGUGCAUCGUGAUAGGGAUAGAUUAUUGAAAUUAUUAAUCUUGAACGAGGAAUUCCUAGUAAACGCAGAUCAUCAAUCUGCAUUGAUUACGUCCCUGCCCUUUGUACACACCGCCAGUCGCACCUACCGAUUGGAUGGUCCGGUGAAGCCUCGGGAUUGUGGUUCUUGCCGCUUUAUUGUGGCGUGACCGCGAGAACUUGUCUAAACCUUAUCAUCUAGAGGAAGGUGAAGUCGUAACA
Molecule: ribosomal RNA, 328 nt
Filed under: uncultured eukaryote
Lineage: Eukaryota
Description: partial 18S ribosomal RNA
Rfam family: Eukaryotic small subunit ribosomal RNA
Source: RNAcentral